GGGUUAAGUCCCGCAACGAGCGCAACCCCUAUUGUUAGUUGCCAUCAUUCAGUUGGGCACUCUAGCGAGACUGCCGGUAAUAAACCGGAGAAGUGGGGAUGACGUCAAAUCAUCAUGCCCCUUAUGACCUGGGCUACACACGUGCUACAAUGGUUGGUACAACGAGUUGCGAGUCGGUGACGGCGAGCUAAUCUCUUAAAGCCAAUCUCAGUUCGGAUUGUAGGCUGCAACUCGCCUACAUGAAGUCGGAAUCGCUAGUAAUCGCGGAUCAGCACGCCGCGGUGAAUACGUUCCCGGGCCUU
Molecule: ribosomal RNA, 302 nt
Filed under: uncultured Streptococcus sp.
Lineage: Bacteria; Bacillati; Bacillota; Bacilli; Lactobacillales; Streptococcaceae
Description: bacterial SSU rRNA
Rfam family: Bacterial small subunit ribosomal RNA
Source: RNAcentral